GAUGAACGCUGGCGGCGUGCCUAAUACAUGCAAGUCGAGCGAACGGACGAGAAGCUUGCUUCUCUGAUGUUAGCGGCGGACGGGUGAGUAACGCGUGGAUAACCAACCUAUAAGACGGGGAUAACUUCGGGAAACCGUAGCUAAUAACGGAUAAUAUUUUGAACCGCAUGGUUCAAAAGUGAAAGACGGUCUUGCUGUCUCUUAUAGAUGGAUCCGUGCUGCAUUAGCUAGUUGGUAAGGUAACGGCUUACCAAGGCAACGAUGCAUAGCCGACCUGAGAGGGUGAUCGGCCACACUGGAACUGAGACACGGUCCAGACUCCUACGGGAGGCAGCAGUGGGGAAUCUUGCACAAUGGGCGCAAGCCUGACGCAGCAACGCCGCGUGAGUGAUGAAGGUCUUCGGAUCGUAAAGCUCUGUUAUUAGGGAAGAACAUAUGUGUAAGUAACUGUGCACAUUUUGACGGUACCUAAUCAGAAAGCCACGGCUAACUACGUG
Molecule: ribosomal RNA, 497 nt
Filed under: uncultured bacterium
Lineage: Bacteria
Description: partial 16S ribosomal RNA
Rfam family: Bacterial small subunit ribosomal RNA
Source: RNAcentral